CCAACUUGCUAUGACCCUCCGCUUUAAGGGCCUCGAGGCGAUCAGGAAUCUAUCUCUCCCACCUGCAGUAUCCCAUAUACAAUCGGGUUCUUCUUCCCGGGUGUUCAGCAGCAGCGAGGCAAGCUCAACAGAUCCACCGAACGUGGCCAUGCCUAGCCUUCUCUAAGCGGCUACUAACCCUCAAAUCAACUCUUGAAGAACGCGUCAAUAGCUUCUUACAGAGACGACGGUAGCUAUGGUGAGUCGCUUCUUUUCUCAACCCACUCUGCCUCCACAGAAAAAAAAAAAAGAAAAAAAAAACCAAAGGAACCCGACUCUCACCCCCCAAUCAGCCAAGCCGAGUGGGGUUGUCAAAAAGUAGUACGGAGUACUUUGUGAUCAAAGCCGCGCUGCCUUCUUGAGCAUUUCACUGCAUGCUGCGCAAUUGGAACAUCUCUGUAGUAGUCUCAGAGAGACAUAACUCGGACAAGACACCGGGAACUGUGCAAGGGAUAGCUCCGAUGAUUCUUCAUGGUGGAAAAAUGUUAGUUCACUGGCGCAAAAGAGAGCCCGAUCAGCCACCAGCGCCAUGCCGGUAGUAGAAGGGACAAACUAAUCCAAACCCCCAUGAGCAAAGUCCCCCGCUCACCUUAUCUUGCCUUCCCCCAUCUCUCCAUGCAAGCCUGAGGUUUGAAAAAAGUGGUUGGAUAACAGGGGAUGUCGGGCUAGUUAUUCUAUAUUCUAAAUUGAGACUAAUUGGAACUAUUUUGGCCUGUAGUGUUUUUUUUUUUUUCCCUUGGUAAUUCCCUCCUUCCCUACCUCUGUAACUAACUACCCAAGAUUAGCCACAUGUUCGUAAAGAAGUAGUUAUUGAGAGCUUUCCGAAACAUUUGGCCCUUUGACUACCACCUGUAGAUUUGUAGCCAUCACUAUUGAUUUGCCUGGCAGAUCGACCUGUAGUUCUCCAUUGAUUAUCCAUCUGUAUAGGGCGAGGUCACUGCACCACGA
This 987-nucleotide small RNA is filed under the name Histoplasma capsulatum. Its description in RNAcentral is "hypothetical RNA". The record is from RNAcentral. RNAcentral also lists the same sequence under 1 other name. Lineage: Eukaryota; Fungi; Ascomycota; Eurotiomycetes; Onygenales; Ajellomycetaceae.